Eupeodes corollae is the source of this 1161-nucleotide long non-coding RNA. RefSeq lists it as uncharacterized. Lineage: Eukaryota; Metazoa; Arthropoda; Insecta; Diptera; Syrphidae. The transcript has 2 exons. The record is from RefSeq and is a predicted model, not a curated record.
GUAUGAGUAAUGAGUAAUCGACAUCGUCGCUGUGUCGUUGUCGUUAAUGAUUUACUCACCGGCAGAGUUCUGGUGAUAAUGCAUCGGGACCGAGACUAAGCACAGAGCCUUUGCACUGCGCACAAACAUAAGUACUCGAUGUCGAUUUAAAAAUAGCCAACAUCAUCAUCAAAAGCAACAACUUUGAUGAGUGCUUUAUACACCCCCGACGCGACGCUGUUACCGCCAUCGCGACGCGACGUCGCUCGUCGUCUUCGCUUGUGUAGGGGGUGGGAAUAUUUAUGAUUUUUUGUUUUUAUCCAAAUUUUGAUUUCACCCAAAGGACAUUAAACUCGAACGCACCUAUACAGAUAGCCAAGUUUUUAUUUUUCGUAAUUUUGUUUUUAUUUUGGUUGAAUGGCCGAUUGAAUAUUUAAGUGAAACUUCGAGAAAUUCCAAAUUUGUUUCUUUUUCCCCGAAUUGAUUUUGAUUAAAAACAAAAAAAGAAAGACAAGAAAAACAAAACAAACGCAUGUAAGUCCGUCCGGCUCCGGGUUCCGGGCUCUGGCAGUAGGCAGCUUUUAGUGAAAUAAUUGUGACGCGAGGAAGUAAAAAAAAACCGCAUAGCGUCUCCUCGGUCGUACCAGGGAAAGCAAGCCAUAGCCAUCAAGCAGCACUAGCUCCACCACCAUCAUCAUCAUCACCACCACGAUUGACAUCAGAGCGAGAGAGAGUGUGUCAUUAGAUAUGCAAAAGUCAAAGCCGUAGCCAUAGCCAGAGCCAUAGCCAGAGCAAGACUUGGCUUUUAAUGAAAUUCACUUCGAUUUAACAUAUCACUUUGUCUGGCAUAAUGGUAAUUACAAGCGUUGUGUAAAUUGUAGAUACAAAGAUACACCACAGUGCGCAGUGCAUGCCUAAGUCGUCGCAGUCGUUUUGCCAAUCUGGUCUAAGCCGAUAAAAAACAAGACCGCAAUAUUGUCUUUUAAUAAGCAUACGAGUACUUAACAUAAGGCAAACGUAAUGCGAGGGGUUUAUAGGGUAGAGGUAUGCUCGUAUAUGAAAUGGAAUGGCACACAUGCGGAGGUUUUGAAAAUCGGAGCGUGCUGAUUAUGUUGUGGUAAAUUUUUAUAGCACUUUAGUGCUUAUUGAUUUGGAAAAUAUAUUUAAGGAGAAAAAACGAAA